UAUACAUGCAAGUCGAGCGAACUGAUUAGAAGCUUGCUUCUAUGACGUUAGCGGCGGACGGGUGAGUAACACGUGGGCAACCUGCCUGUAAGACUGGGAUAACUCCGGGAAACCGGAGCUAAUACCGGAUAACAUUUUCUCUUGCAUAAGAGAAAAUUGAAAGAUGGUUUCGGCUAUCACUUACAGAUGGGCCCGCGGUGCAUUUACUAGUUGGUGAGGUAACGGCUCACCAAGGCAACGAUGCAUAGCCGACCUGAGAGGGUGAUCGGCCACACUGGGACUGAGACACGGCCCAGACUCCUACGGGAGGCAGCAGUAGGGAAUCUUCCGCAAUGGACGAAAGUCUGACGGAGCAACGCCGCGUGAGUGAUGAAGGCUUUCGGGUCGUAAAACUCUGUUGUUAGGGAAGAACAAGUACAAGAGUAACUGCUUGUACCUUGACGGUACCUAACCAGAAAGCCACGGCUAACUACGUGCCAGCAGCCGCGGUAAUACGUAGGUGGCAAGCGUUAUCCGGAAUUAUUGGGCGUAAAGCGCGCGCAGA
RNAcentral lists this ribosomal RNA (544 nucleotides) under Priestia megaterium. Its description in RNAcentral is "bacterial SSU rRNA". It matches the Rfam family "Bacterial small subunit ribosomal RNA", at positions 50 to 575 of the family's 1533-position model. The record is from RNAcentral. Lineage: Bacteria; Bacillati; Bacillota; Bacilli; Caryophanales; Bacillaceae.